ACGAACGCUGGCGGCGUGCUUAACACAUGCAAGUCGAACGGUGAAGCGCCUUCCUUUUUGGUGGGUGUGGAUGAGUGGCGAACGGGUGAGUAACACGUGAGUAACCUGCCCCCUUCUUCUGGAUAACCGCAUGAAAGUGUGGCUAAUACGGGAUAUUCUGGGUCUGUCGCAUGAUGGGUCUGGGAAAGAUAUUGUUUCGGUGGGGGAUGGGCUCGCGGCCUAUCAGCUUGUUGGUGGGGUGAUGGCCUACCAAGGCGGUAACGGGUAGCCGGCCUGAGAGGGUGGACGGUCACACUGGGACUGAGACACGGCCCAGACUCCUACGGGAGGCAGCAGUGGGGAAUAUUGCACAAUGGGCGCAAGCCUGAUGCAGCGACGCCGCGUGAGGGAUGGAGGCCUUCGGGUUGUGAACCUCUUUCGCCAGUGAAGCAGGCCUGCCUCGUUUGUGGGUGGGUUGACGGUAGCUGGAUAAGAAGCGCCGGCUAACUACGUG
This 493-nucleotide ribosomal RNA is filed under the name uncultured bacterium. Its description in RNAcentral is "partial 16S ribosomal RNA". It matches the Rfam family "Bacterial small subunit ribosomal RNA", at positions 29 to 507 of the family's 1533-position model. The record is from RNAcentral.